RNAcentral lists this ribosomal RNA (531 nucleotides) under uncultured bacterium. RNAcentral describes it as "bacterial SSU rRNA". It matches the Rfam family "Bacterial small subunit ribosomal RNA", at positions 29 to 528 of the family's 1533-position model. The record is from RNAcentral.
AACGAACGCUGGCGGCGUGGAUAAGGCAUGCAAGUCGAGCGCGAAAGUCCCCUUCGGGGGAUGAGUAGAGCGGCAAACGGGUGAGUAACACGUGAGUAACCUGUCCUUGGGUGGGGGAUAACCCCGGGAAACCGGGGCUAAUACCGCAUGAUGUUGUUCCCACACAAGUGAGAAUAACCAAAAGGGGGGGACCUUCGGGCCUCCCGCCUGAGGAGGGGCUCGCGCCUGAUUAGCUAGUUGGUGGGGUAACGGCUCACCAAGGCGAUGAUCAGUAGCCGGUCUGAGAGGAUGGACGGCCACACUGGGACUGAGACACGGCCCAGACUCCUACGGGAGGCAGCAGUGGGGAAUAUUGCGCAAUGGGGGAAACCCUGACGCAGCGACGCCGCGUGAGCGAAGAAGGCCUUAGGGUCGUAAAGCUCUGUUGUAAGGGACGAAUGUUUAUCUGGCGAACAGUCAGAUAAAGUGACGGUUACCUUACCAGCAACGCCCCGGCUAACUACGUGCCAGCCAGCCCGACGGUAAAAGUGU